GAUUAACGCUAGCGGCAGGCCUAAUACAUGCAAGUUGUACGGGAUUAUUGGUAGCAAUACUGAUAUGAGAGUAGCGCACGGGUGCGUAACACGUAUGCAACCUACCUUUAACUGGGGAAUAGCUCACCGAAAGGUGAAUUAACACCGCAUAAAAUCACAGAAGGACAUCCUUUAAUGAUUAAAUCUCCGGAGGUUAAAGAUGGGCAUGCGUCCGAUUAGCAGUUGGCGGGGUAACAGCCCACCAAGGCAACGAUCGGUAGGGGUCUGAGAGGAUGAUCCCCCACACUGGUACUGAGACACGGACCAGACUCC
Molecule: ribosomal RNA, 312 nt
Filed under: uncultured bacterium
Lineage: Bacteria
Description: bacterial SSU rRNA
Rfam family: Bacterial small subunit ribosomal RNA
Source: RNAcentral